CAGAUGCAUGGAAACGCCGUCAACCCUCCCGCAGUAGCAGUACCAAUUUAUCUAUUUGCACUGGUAUGCUUUUGAACUGCUAGCUUGGCAGAAGAGUGGCGUAGUAAACCUUGCCACAUCACUUAAAUCAUGCAAUUUGCUUUUGUAGGUCAACAUCUUCAUUGCAGCAUCCUUUUCCCCAGGAAUUUCUUCAUGCAGCUAACUACUUGAGCCUAUAAGGUGGAUCAAUAUGUGGUAUUUAUUUUCUAGUCAACAAGAUAAGCAGAGCAAUCCUAACCCCUGAUCUGUAGUAGCAUAAGGGGUUAGAAAGUGGCAGUAGUACAGUAUCUCACUGCCUAAUUCUGUUGCGCUCAUCUGGGCUUUGAGGCUACUACUGCACCUAUCAAAGACACAGGUAGAAGCUACUAAAUGGUAUUCCCACCAGUGGAAAGCCCUGGAAUGGGGCAUUUUGGGUAUGGAAUUGGACCAUUCCAGGAUCCAUUGCAUGGUAAUCUGAUUCAGGUAUGGCUAUCGGAACUGCUCUGCUGAAGCUGGCACAGAGGAGCCCACAGCACAAGCAGCAGACCUACAGGUGCUGCUGUGGUUCUGGCUCUGUUUAGUCUCGCUGCUCUUUUAGCUGAGAGAAAGGAUUGCUUACUUAUGUUAGGGAAAAAGCAAGAAAAAUGAAAGUAUUCUAUUUAACAAUUACAUAGGCACUACAUACGUACACUCAAGGAGUUUCGAUUCAAUAGGAACAUGAUUAGAAAAACAAGUUUUUGGUGCAAAUAUAUAAUAAACCCACAAGUUAAAAUUUAUUUUCCUCACCUAAAAAACAAGCAACCCAGAAUUAAGAUAUACACAAGAUACCCAAGUUUUAUCCCUAUUAAAACUUUUGAAGAUUUAUACAAUCUUUACAGAAACAUACAGUGUAUCAAAAUCUGCAUAAAUCAAAUUUAUAAAAUGUGUAGAAAUGCAUAGUGAUCAACUUACAAAGCAAGGAUAUGGAA
Zootoca vivipara (common lizard) is the source of this 986-nucleotide non-coding RNA. The record is from RefSeq and is a predicted model, not a curated record. Lineage: Eukaryota; Metazoa; Chordata; Lepidosauria; Squamata; Lacertidae.